Molecule: unclassified non-coding RNA, 2343 nt
Filed under: Zea mays
Lineage: Eukaryota; Viridiplantae; Streptophyta; Magnoliopsida; Poales; Poaceae
Description: misc RNA Zm00001eb426680
Source: RNAcentral
CGAAUUUUUGUUAUCAGUACUAGUCAUGGCGUGGUAUUUUCUCUAUGCCUCUCUUCACCGUGCGCAGGAUUCCAGACCUUCUCCACGCGCGCUCUCUCCUGUCUUCUCCCUCGCGGAUCUCAUCCGCGCAGGGGUAAAUCUUCUCUACCGCCGCUCAAAAAAAAAUCUACCGUUCCUAUCCCCUACGCCUCUACGCCGCCCAGCCGCCCUCUACCGGAUUUUUUUCAUCCGCCGCUCAGAAUCCGAACCGCGCCGCCCUGGGAUUCUUCAAAUAUCCCACCGUGUUCUGCUCCUCUCGCACCCUACGAGCUCCCACGGCACCCUGCGUCUUCUUCCUCGCCGGCGUGAGCUUCAUCCCUGGCUCGCUGCGCGCCCAUCUCUGAUGUCUUCUUCCCCAGCUCGAUCUUUCCUCCACCGGACCGCGCCUCAGCUCCUCCCUGGCACCCAUGGCCGCGCCCCUCAGCUACCUGCUCGCCACCAUCCGGUGCUUCCUCCGGUGGAGCAGAGGGCAACUGUAGACGCGGCAGCCAAAACCACUGUGCAGCCUCCUUCAACCGGACCAAGCACCGCCCGCUUUCCAUGGCCGCGGCGACGUUCUUCUUCUUCCCCGGAUUCCGCGCGCCCUGGAGCUCUUCCCCAUCCCCUCCCCAAGCUCUCUCUGCUCGUCCUGCGCGCGCUCGAAUUUCUUUUCUUCUCCACCGUGCGGCUCUGCUCGCCGUCGUGUGGAGCGCCAACUGAGUCUCUCCCUGUCCCCAGCUCGGACCGUGCGUCCUCGCCUUGCGCCGCGCGCUCUCCUUGUGUUCAUGGCGGCUUCCCCCUGCUGGCAGCCGCGUCUGCUCCGUGCGCACGCACUCAACCUGCUCGCCAUGGUCGCCGCGCGCCGCGCACACUGCUCCCUGGAGCUCGGCCGCGACCUCGCCGUCGCUUGUCAGCUUCAGCGCACAGCUGAACUCCCCUGCCUCCUAUGGCCGAGUGCCCAGCUCCCUUGUUCCCUGAUUUCUGCUCGCCGCAACACCGGUGUGCUGCUGUUCUAGUUCGGAUCUCGCCCAUGGCGUCGAUCUGUUCGUUCUGCCGUCGCUCAGCUCGCAUCCACCUCCUUUGUUGUUAACACCGUGUGCUCGGCUUCUCUGGCGCUGAUCCGUACUCGCCCAUGUCGCCAUCGUAGUGUCGUCACUAGAUAGCUUCGUGUGUCGUCGAGCUUUGCCUUGCUCGUCGUCGUUCGCCGUCGAGCCUCACUGCCAUCACAAAGUUCCCUGCUGUUAGUCUCCGCACCCGUCCUAGACCGUAGUAAAACUCUAGUGUUUGUCACUGAUAUCCGGUCGUCUCCAACCUUUGUUUUGUCGUCGUCAUUCGAUCACCCUGUCUCGAUAUCGGUCCCUACAUGACAUCUCCGACUUAUGUUCACGCCGACAAAAGAAUCAGGUGAAGACGAAGCUAGCCGCGUGAUAUUUACCAAGUGACAGGCGAAAGGCCAGAACAAGAAUCAUCGCUGUUUUUCGGAGUUCUACUUAAUACGAAGAGAAAGUGAAGCUCCGUUCUAUACUCGUCAGCGAGUUGAUCGAAGAUUUUAUUCGGAGACCGUCGACGUUCUCGCAAGCUUUAAGUCGGAUUUAAUGGACGGUAAGUGGCUUCGUUAUUCCAGUCGACUAAAUAUGAUAUUUAUUAAACGGUGAUUUGAUCGGUAGUCGUACAUGUUGCUGAUCCCUUGCGUUAUAAUAGUUAUUACGUUCUAGGUAGUUUGUUUGGGUUAUUAGUUUCGAGUAAUUUAAUAUUAGUACGAUAUUUAACAUGUAAUCGACUGAAAGCAUCUAAGCCCCUGGUUGGUUUUAGUGAUUAAUGACAACGUAAUAUUAUAUGUGACUAACGUGUGUUUUGCAGAGACAAAUGGUAAGUUAGGUCACAUGACAGGUAGAAGUACUACAACGGUGAAAACAAUCCCAGAGAUAAGAACUCGAAGCGACGGCUAAAACGACGGAACAAAAGGUGAAGGUCUAAAGAGUCCGAGUGUCAGGAGAUGUGGACACUCGCGAUUUAGUUAGGUCUUUUAUUCUCUUUUAGCCGUACUAUAAAGAGGGGUUGUCGAUGAGUAGUUUGACCAAGAGAGUUCUAGUGUAGUAUUGGUGCACAAUCACACUCAUAUACAGUGCUAGGUGUCACUCUAGAACUCACACAAAAGUUAGAACGAAAACCGAUUUGAAAAUCAGCUGAAAAACAAGACUUAGAGUUUCUGGCUUUGGGGCACCGGACUGUCCGGUGUGCACCGGACUGUCCGGUGCACCCUCUGCCAGGUGGGCCAGACUGGUCCACGGCAGGGACUCUCCCAGUCGCAGAAACCCGAGAGCG